AUUGAACGCUGGCGGCAUGCCUUACACAUGCAAGUCGAACGGUAACAGGUUAAGCUGCCGCGUGGCGAACGGGUGAGUAAUGUAUCGGAACGUGCCCAGUCGUGGGGGAUAACUGCUCGAAAGAGCAGCUAAUACCGCAUACGACCUGAGGGUGAAAGCGGGGGAUCGCAAGACCUCGCGCGAUUGGAGCGGCCGAUAUCAGAUUAGGUAGUUGGUGAGGUAAAGGCUCACCAAGCCGACGAUCUGUAGCUGGUCUGAGAGGACGACCAGCCCACUGGGACUGAGACACGGCCCAGACUCCUACGGGAGGCAGCAGUGGGGAAUUUUGGACAAUGGGCGCAAGCCUGAUCCAGCCAUGCCGCGUGCGGGAAGAAGGCCUUCGGGUUGUAAACCGCUUUUGUCAGGGAAGAAAAGGUUCUGGCUAAUACCUGGGACUCAUGACGGUACCUGAAGAAUAAGCACCGGCUAACUACGUG
This 476-nucleotide ribosomal RNA is filed under the name uncultured bacterium. Its description in RNAcentral is "partial 16S ribosomal RNA". It matches the Rfam family "Bacterial small subunit ribosomal RNA", at positions 30 to 507 of the family's 1533-position model. The record is from RNAcentral.